RNAcentral lists this transfer RNA (72 nucleotides) under Cyanidioschyzon merolae strain 10D. RNAcentral's name for it is "tRNA-Thr(AGT)". It matches the Rfam family "tRNA". Rfam says of the family: Transfer RNA (tRNA) molecules are approximately 80 nucleotides in length. Lineage: Eukaryota; Rhodophyta; Bangiophyceae; Cyanidiales; Cyanidiaceae. The record is from RNAcentral.
GCCUUCGUAGCUUAGUGGUAGAGCAUCUCACUAGUAAUGAGAAGGUCAUGGGUUCAAUUCCCAUCGAAGGCU